AUCCAACUGACGAGUCUCAAACGGGACGAAACUCACAUCCUGGAU
RNAcentral lists this non-coding RNA (45 nucleotides) under Schistosoma curassoni. Lineage: Eukaryota; Metazoa; Platyhelminthes; Trematoda; Strigeidida; Schistosomatidae. The record is from RNAcentral.